UUGGCACUAUUGAAGUUCGAUUGGUGCUGUUGAAGGUUGAUGGCUGGAGAAGUAUGAAAGAUACCAGAGACAGUCGGUCACUGUAGAAAUCCGACUACUGGAGCCCGUCCGUUGUAGAAGUUUAUAUGGAAUCCAAUUCUGUUGUAGAAGUUCGGAUGGAGUCCGAUUCUUGUAGGAGCCUGAAAGGAGGCCGCUUACUGUAGAAGCUC
This 209-nucleotide long non-coding RNA is filed under the name Elaeis guineensis (African oil palm). RNAcentral describes it as "long non-coding RNA (EGUI_LNC066575)". The record is from RNAcentral. Lineage: Eukaryota; Viridiplantae; Streptophyta; Magnoliopsida; Arecales; Arecaceae.